This 468-nucleotide ribosomal RNA is filed under the name uncultured bacterium. RNAcentral describes it as "partial 16S ribosomal RNA". It matches the Rfam family "Bacterial small subunit ribosomal RNA", at positions 28 to 507 of the family's 1533-position model. The record is from RNAcentral.
GACGAACGCUGGCGGCGUGCUUAACACAUGCAAGUCGAACGGAAAGGCCCUGCUUUUGUGGGGUGCUCGAGUGGCGAACGGGUGAGUAACACGUGAGUAACCUGCCCUUGACUUUGGGAUAACUUCAGGAAACUGGGGCUAAUACCGGAUAGGAGCUCCUGCUGCAUGGUGGGGGUUGGAAAGUUUCGGCGGUUGGGGAUGGACUCGCGGCUUAUCAGCUUGUUGGUGGGGUAGUGGCUUACCAAGGCUUUGACGGGUAGCCGGCCUGAGAGAGUGACCGGCCACAUUGGGACUGAGAUACGGCCCAGACUCCUACGGGAGGCAGCAGUGGGGAAUAUUGCACAAUGGGCGGAAGCCUGAUGCAGCAACGCCGCGUGCGGGAUGACGGCCUUCGGGUUGUAAACCGCUUUCGGCUGUGACGAAGCGUGAGUGACGGUAAUGGGUAAAGAAGCACCGGCUAACUACGUG